CUUCUUAUAAUAUAAUCAUUAUAUGUUAAUUUCAAUAACAAUAUAGAUAUCCUUAUCUUAAGAAGA
RNAcentral lists this transfer RNA (66 nucleotides) under Anoplodactylus australis. Its description in RNAcentral is "tRNA-Glu". Lineage: Eukaryota; Metazoa; Arthropoda; Pycnogonida; Pantopoda; Phoxichilidiidae. The record is from RNAcentral.